AGCGAACAUAGUUUAGAGGUAAAAUAUCGCCUUGCCAAGGCGAGGUCGGGGGUUCGAUUCCCCCUGUUCGCAA
This 73-nucleotide transfer RNA is filed under the name Ulva prolifera. RNAcentral's name for it is "tRNA-Gly". It matches the Rfam family "tRNA". From Rfam's summary of the family: Transfer RNA (tRNA) molecules are approximately 80 nucleotides in length. Their secondary structure includes four short double-helical elements and three loops (D, anti-codon, and T loops). Lineage: Eukaryota; Viridiplantae; Chlorophyta; Ulvophyceae; Ulvales; Ulvaceae. The record is from RNAcentral.